AAGCCUGUGAAGGUGGCCUGUGAGGGUUGCUGGAGGUAUCAGAAGUGCGAAUGCUGACAUAAGUAACGAUAAAGCGGGUGAAAAGCCCGCUCGCCGGAAGACCAAGGGUUCCUGUCCAACGUUAAUCGGGGCAGGGUGAGUCGACCCCUAAGGCGAGGCCGAAAGGCGUAGUCGAUGGGAAACGGGUUAAUAUUCCCGUACUUGGUGUUACUGCGAAGGGGGGACGGAGAAGGCUAUGUUGGCCGGGCGACGGUUGUCCCGGUUUAAGCGUGUAGGUGUGUGUUCCAGGUAAAUCCGGUUCACUUUAACACUGAGGCGUGAUGACGAGGCACUACGGUGCUGAAGUAACAAAUGCCCUGCUUCCAGGAAAAGCCUCUAAGCAUCAGGUAACAUCAAAUCGUACCCCAAACCGACACAGGUGGUCAGGUAGAGAAUACCAAGGCGCUUGAGAGAACUCGGGUGAAGGAACUAGGCAAAAUGGUGCCGUAACUUCGGGAGAAGGCACGCUGAC
This 511-nucleotide ribosomal RNA is filed under the name Salmonella enterica. RNAcentral describes it as "partial 23S ribosomal RNA". It matches the Rfam family "Bacterial large subunit ribosomal RNA", at positions 1244 to 1755 of the family's 2925-position model. Lineage: Bacteria; Pseudomonadati; Pseudomonadota; Gammaproteobacteria; Enterobacterales; Enterobacteriaceae. The record is from RNAcentral.